This 392-nucleotide unclassified non-coding RNA is filed under the name Hevea brasiliensis (rubber tree). The record is from RNAcentral. Lineage: Eukaryota; Viridiplantae; Streptophyta; Magnoliopsida; Malpighiales; Euphorbiaceae.
GCUUUUCGGGCUUUUCCUUGUGCUUUUCGGGCUCCUUGGGCUUUUCGGGAGCUUUGAGCUUUAAGGGCUCUUUGAUCUCAAUGCUCUUGAUUGCUUUUCCUCCUUUACAACACAAUUUGUCGCGAAUCCGUUCAGGACUACAACAAACUACAAGGAUGGUGAUAGUAUUGGCCUUCUCAUCAUACAUCUGAUCUCGAACCUGAGGCAUUUUGCAGAGAAUUUUCUUGGCCUUCUUGUAGCAGCAGGGACACUGAAGAUCAACCUUUAGCACCAUUACAGUGGUCUUCUCUUUGUGAUCACCACCCAUAGCUAAGAAUUGAAACUAGAAAUGAAUUCCUUGUGAUUAUUUGAAAAGGAAAGAGAGAAUGAAGGAGGAAAAAAAAAGGUGUGUG